UACGGAGGGUGCGAGCGUUGUCCGGAAUCAUUGGGCGUAAAGGGCGCGUAGGUGGCGGGUCAAGCGUGCGGUGAAAGCCCGGGGCUCAACCCCGGAAUUGCCUUUGAGACUGCAUAGCUUGAACACGGGAGAGGUGAGUGGAAUUCCGAGUGUAGAGGUGAAAUUCGUAGAUAUUCGGAAGAACACCAGUGGCGAAGGCGGCUCACUGGACCGUUGUUGACGCUGAGGUGCGAAAGCGUGGGGAGCAAACAGG
Molecule: ribosomal RNA, 253 nt
Filed under: uncultured bacterium
Lineage: Bacteria
Description: partial 16S ribosomal RNA
Rfam family: Bacterial small subunit ribosomal RNA
Source: RNAcentral